RNAcentral lists this ribosomal RNA (253 nucleotides) under uncultured bacterium. RNAcentral describes it as "partial 16S ribosomal RNA". It matches the Rfam family "Bacterial small subunit ribosomal RNA", at positions 524 to 776 of the family's 1533-position model. The record is from RNAcentral.
UACGUAGGGGGCAAGCGUUGUCCGGAAUCAUUGGGCGUAAAGAGCGUGUAGGCGGCUCGAUAAGUCUGCUGUGAAAGUCCAGGGCUCAACCCUGGAAGGCCGGUGGAAACUGUCGGGCUAGAGUCCGGAAGAGGCGAGUGGAAUUCCCGGUGUAGCGGUGAAAUGCGUAGAUAUCCGGAGGAAUACCAAAGGCGAAGGCAGUGUCCUGGGAAGUACCUGACGCUGAGGCGCGAAAGCCAGGGGAGCGAACAGG